This 2405-nucleotide long non-coding RNA is filed under the name Nicotiana benthamiana. RNAcentral describes it as "long non-coding RNA (NBEN_LNC035836)". The record is from RNAcentral. Lineage: Eukaryota; Viridiplantae; Streptophyta; Magnoliopsida; Solanales; Solanaceae.
ACUCCAACGCUCCCCUCUACCCAUUUUCUCUCCAAAUACAGACCUUUUCCGCCCGAAAACCGGUCAAAACAAAAACCAUAAAAAUCAACCCAAAAUGUUCACACACAAAAAAUUCGAUUCAUAUAACCUCAGCUUUGUGAUUGCUUGUUGAUGCUUCUCCCGAAACUGUUCUGCUGGGUUUCAUCUUGAAAAAUUCGAUUGGUAUUUUAAUUUUUCGGCGAGGUUGUUGUUGAGGUUUUGGCAGUCGCCGUUGAGUUUUUGCCGUAUUCACAGCCAUUUAGAAGCUUUUGCUGACAUUGUAAAAGUUCUGGAGAACAUAUCUCAAAAAUAAAGUUUCUUUUAAUUAUGUCUUUUACCAUUAAUUUUAUUUUGUUUGAAUUGUUGCCGAUUAUUUGUUGGAAAUAAAUGUUGCCAAUUAAAAUUUGAUUUGUGUACGGAAUUUUAAGUGAUUAAGAAGCCAUUUGUUUGCUUAAGGAUUUACGUCUCUGGUUGGCAUUUAAUUGGAUAGUUAAAUAUUGCUAGCUAAAUAUUGGAUUUGGUUUAUAUUGAUAAUCAAGCUAGCUUUAGGUGAUUUGAAUUAUUGGAUUGAUGAGAAGUGAGAGGUGAUGUUGUACGUGUCAAUUGUCUGUAGCUUAUGCAUCUCAUAGUUUGUGUUAAGAGGUAAGAUUAGUACAGUUUCUUGCGAUGAUGACAGAUGAGAAUUUUAUUUUGUAGCAUUCCAUAUUGAGUCCGGAAUCAAAAUAUGACUCUUUUAGAUUCAAAGUAUACAAAUAUGCGAAAAAAAGUUAUAUUUUUAGGUAUAAUGCCAUAAUACCUGAUGCUAUAUAUUAAUAUUAACUGCACUAUUAAUAUAUAGCGCCAGGUAUUGUGGUGCUAUACUGCAAAAUCUGAUAGAGACUGAUAUAGCGUGGCAAUAACUGGCGCUAUACCCCUUUUUAAAAAUCAUCUAUCUUCUUCAUCGUCUACCUCCAUUAUUUUACUCCUUCUUCCUCUCUUCUUGUCCCCCAUUCCGAUUCUGUCCACCUUGUAAAAAAAAAAUUUGGGUCCCCCUAGCAAAUAAAACUUGAAGAACGUAGGUCCCGCAAUUGAAUAGAGCUUCGUAUUAUGUUGAUUCACACUUUCGGAAUCAAAAUUUUAAUCUAUUUGCUUUCCGAAAAUUCUAAAUCGAGGUAUUUCGAUUUAUUUUAAGUUGAAAUUUUUAUAAUAAUGCAUACUUGAUUUGUAUAUGUUCUAUUUCGGUUUGUGUUUUUUUUCGAAAACCGCAUGUUAUAUUUACCCGGAUUUAAAUUUAGUGUUUUUAAAAAAAAAUAUAAAUUUAUCAAAUAAAUUUGUCUGAUAAUAUCCUCAUUUAUGUAUAUGUAUUUUCAUGUCAUUUUGUGUUUUAUUUGUAAUUAAAUUAUUUGUUGUUUAUGUUUAGUUUAGAUUAAUUUUUAGCAUAGUAAAAUCUAGACCUUUUUAGCGUAGUAAAACGUAGACCCUUUUAGCGUAGUAAAAUUUAGAGCCUUGUAGCAUAGUAAUGUGUAGUAUUUUAGCUUAGAAUUCCUUUUGUUUAAGUAUCUUAUAUUGGUAGUUGAAAAUGCAAACUUAAUACAAUUAAGUUAAUAAUUGUAUCAACACACAUGAAUAGUAAUUUGUAUAAUUAAGUUAUUAAAAAAAUAUGAAUUUAAAUUACAAAAAAAUACAUAAUUAUUAAUGAUAGUUUGGUGCCACUGCGCCUCAAAAUAUCGAGCCCGAAACCCAUAGGUAUAUGUAUAUAUAUAUAUAUAUUACCAUUAAGCCAUUAAGCUUCGAUUUGAUUCGAUUUUUGAUUUCGGAUCGAUUUUGAACACCCCUAUUUAAGACCCAGCGCCGUGACCACCCAAAAGAAUGGACUCCCAUUUUCUCCAAGAUAAAUAGCAUCAGAAGACUCCCCCCUCCCCCACCCCCACAGUUGAAGACCACUCCAACGCUCCCCUCUACCCAUUUUCUCUCCAAAUACAGACCUUUUCCGCCCGAAAACCGGUCAAAACAAAAACCAUAAAAAUCAACCCAAAAUGUUCACACACAAAAAAUUCGAUUCAUAUAACCUCAGCUUUGUGAUUGCUUGUUGAUGCUUCUCCCGAAACUGUUCUGCUGGGUUUCAUCUUGAAAAAUUCGAUUGGUAUUUUAAUUUUUCGGCGAGGUUGUUGUUGAGGUUUUGGCAGUCGCCGUUGAGUUUUUGCCGUAUUCACAGCCAUUUAGAAGCUUUUGCUGACAUUGUAAAAGUUCUGGAGAACAUAUCUCAAAAAUAAAGUUUCUUUUAAUUAUGUCUUUUACCAUUAAUUUUAUUUUGUUUGAAUUGUUGCCGAUUAUUUGUUGGAAAUAAAUGUUGCCAAUUAAAAUUUGAUUUGUGUACGGAAUUUUAAGUGAUUAAGAAGCCAUUUGUU